GUGCCAGCAGCCGCGGUAAGACAGAGGGUGCGAACGUUGCUCGGAAUCAUUGGGCGUAAAGCGCGUGUAGGCGGCAUCGCACGUCGGGUGUGAAAGCCCGGGGCUCAACCCCGGCAGUGCACCCGAAACGACGAUGCUAGAGUGCUGGAGAGGCGGGUGGAAUUCCCGGUGUAGAGGUGAAAUUCGUAGAUAUCGGGAGGAACACCGGUGGCGAAGGCGGCCCGCUGGCCAGCGACUGACGCUGAGACGCGAAAGCGUGGGGAGCAAACAGGAUUAGAUACCCUCGUAGUCC
Molecule: ribosomal RNA, 292 nt
Filed under: uncultured bacterium
Lineage: Bacteria
Description: partial 16S ribosomal RNA
Rfam family: Bacterial small subunit ribosomal RNA
Source: RNAcentral